RNAcentral lists this ribosomal RNA (253 nucleotides) under uncultured bacterium. RNAcentral's name for it is "partial 16S ribosomal RNA". It matches the Rfam family "Bacterial small subunit ribosomal RNA", at positions 524 to 776 of the family's 1533-position model. The record is from RNAcentral.
UACGUAGGUGGCGAGCGUUGUCCGGAUUUACUGGGCGUAAAGAGCGCGCAGGCGGUCGUUCAAGUCGCGUGUGAAAGCCCCCGGCUCAACUGGGGAGGGUCACGCGAUACUGAUCGACUCGAAGGCAGGAGAGGGAAGUGGAAUUCCCGGUGUAGUGGUGAAAUGCGUAGAUAUCGGGAGGAACACCAGUGGCGAAGGCGGAUCUCUGGGCCUUGCCUGACGCUGAGGCGCGAAAGCUAGGGGAGCGAACAGG